Molecule: long non-coding RNA, 407 nt
Organism: Cloeon dipterum
Lineage: Eukaryota; Metazoa; Arthropoda; Insecta; Ephemeroptera; Baetidae
Exons: 3
Source: RefSeq, a predicted model, not a curated record
UGAUUUUGUUGGUACUGUUUACUAAAGCUCCUAAACCCUCCACCCUCACUGGGACUGCUUCACAAGUCAGACCACUCAGACCAGCACUACAAAAUUUCCAAAGCCGAAAAUCAAAGUGUCGCUUUCACUUAAAAACUAUUUAAUUUCAUAAAAGAGAAAAAUGUUUGGAGCUCCUUCUAAAGCGCAGGCUAUUCAAGGGAAGCCUGAUGCCAGCAGAGAUGAGAGCAAAGAAGCCAUUAAUGCCCUCAUAGCCAAUCUCAUCACGUUUGGAGUUCUUGUUGGAAUGAUCCGAACUGUUCCUUUUGCCAUCAAGCAAUUCAGCUAAAAUAUUGAAUAAGAAAACCACAAUGAUUGUAAUUUAAGAGGUUAUUCAUGUUUAAUUAAAAAUAUUUAAAAUACAUACUGUU